AUGGAAAAUUAUUUGCAUUUCACUUUAACUUUAUUUUGUUUUCCAUUUCAGAGUUAAAUAUAAUCACUGCACAAGUACAAAGACACUUGCAUGAUAAACCUGGUUUAUUUCCAUUUCAGGUGAUGCAUUGCACAGAGAUAACCCUGAAGUACCCAGCACCUAUGAAGUAUACAGAGGUAGGCCUGAUCAAAAAUAUUUUGUAAAAUUGUUU
RNAcentral lists this long non-coding RNA (211 nucleotides) under Chrysemys picta bellii (western painted turtle). RNAcentral describes it as "lncRNA (ENSCPBG00000000342.1)". Lineage: Eukaryota; Metazoa; Chordata; Testudines; Emydidae. The record is from RNAcentral.